RNAcentral lists this small nucleolar RNA (90 nucleotides) under Labrus bergylta (ballan wrasse). Its description in RNAcentral is "Small nucleolar RNA SNORD60 (ENSLBEG00000004910.1)". It matches the Rfam family "Small nucleolar RNA SNORD60". From Rfam's summary of the family: U60 belongs to the C/D class of snoRNA which contain the C (UGAUGA) and D (CUGA) box motifs. Most of the members of the box C/D family function in directing site-specific 2'-O-methylation of substrate RNAs. The record is from Rfam by way of RNAcentral. Lineage: Eukaryota; Metazoa; Chordata; Actinopteri; Labriformes; Labridae.
AGCUGAUGACGACAAUCUAAAAUAUACUUUUCUGACACCUACUAUGAGAGCUGAACUCCAGCUCCUGAUUCUAACUUGACUCUGAGGCUC